This 3540-nucleotide long non-coding RNA is filed under the name Actinidia chinensis (golden kiwifruit). RNAcentral's name for it is "long non-coding RNA (ACHI_LNC001613)". Lineage: Eukaryota; Viridiplantae; Streptophyta; Magnoliopsida; Ericales; Actinidiaceae. The record is from RNAcentral.
AAGUACUUUAGUAACUACCCUGCCAAGUCCAAAUCCAAUGAAUGAAUUGUUUUCCUAACAUUAUGAGGCAGCCUCACAAAUCUGUCAAUGCAUACAAGAGGAAGUGAGGGAUCCUAAUUCCAAAGGCAAGCUUAGAAGGUGAGGCAAUAUUUCCUUCGGAAACUACUGGUGGUUAGAACUGAUACAUGAUUGGAACAUUAUGUUUUAAUUUUUGUGCGCAUAAAUUUUUUAGAACCCACCAAAAGUAUAGCAACGUUAGUGAAGGAAGAGAACCAGGGUAAAGAUGCAAUACCAAAAUGACUGUAAGGUUGCUCUGGAUGCAUAUGAUUCCAGCUCUGAUCAUUGUCGUUAUCAAACAUUUGUGCGGUGUUAAAUAUAUGUCUAUGAUCCAUAUGCAACCUCGAAGUUCAAGAUAAUUUAUGUUUUGAACCCUGCACAUAAACAUAAUCCCAUAAAUCAAAGUCAUUCCAGCAGAAAUGACUCAGAUGCAAUAUAAAUGUAUGCUUCCAUGACUCCAUUGGAUUUAUCAGUACAAAAGCACUAGGUCUGUUGCCUUUUAUAUAGCAAAAGGACUCGAUUAUACUUUAGCAAAGAAUACAUAACAGACAAGGAAUCAACAAUAACUGCUUAAAAUACAAGUCAACAAAGGAGUUCAGUAAGUACAGUGUGUAGUAUAGUAGGGAAACGAAUAGCAAUCUUCAAUUAACAAGCCUUUCUGAGAAUUCAUGGAAAGCAGCUAAGAAAAGGAAGCUUGCAUUUGAUAUUUGAAGAAAAUUUCUAGUCUCUCACAUGGAUGAGAGAUAUAAAUCUCCUCUUAUCCCUAACUUCCGUAUAAAUUCAAGUACAUUCCUAAAUUAUUAAAACGUUUUAUGUUAGAGUAUUAUGUAAUGUACUACAUAUUUGGACUUCAGAAUUUCUUCUCAUACAUGUAAGCUUAUAUCUAUAUCCACGUAUGCAUACACAUAUCCCCUAUUAUAGGAUGAUGUUAUAGGGAUGUCCAGAGAACUAGAAGAACCGUUAACCAGACCAGACCGAACCGCAUGGGUUGGUCUAGUUCUACAGUCUAAAUGGUCUAGUUUUGGUUCUCAAAAAUAGAGAGCCGGUCUAUAAAGCUUGGUUCGGGUUUUUUAUUCCAUAACCGUGAUUCGAACAAGUCCGACCGGUUUUUAUAGGUCUAUAUAUGUGUAUAAGUUGAACCCUUCCUAACCAUAAUUUCUGUUGCCACGCUAUAUAAAGUUCUCACUUCUCCUUUCACUUCUAUCUUGGGUUUUAAUCUGUGCAUGUUUUGUUUAGUUUCUUCUGGUGGACUUUGAUGUUAAUCACAGCUCAAUAGAGUUAAGGAAAAAGUAAAAACUAAAGUGGUUAUCAAAAUUAAAGGGUAAAGUCCACUUUGCACCCUUACAUUUUGACUAAAAAGACACUUUGCACCCCACACCUCAAGAGUGGACAAUCAACACCAUACAUUUUGAGUCAAUGUCAGCUCUCCCCCUUCCAUCAGACUCUCAUCGAAAAACCAAACGGAAGGAUAUCAAGUGAGGCUUAGCCCCCAUUUUUUGGGGUAUUAUAUAUAGUUUCACUGUUUUAUUCCCACUUAAUCAUAUGUCAUUCUAUUUGGACCCAAAAACUUUUUCUUAGCCCCAAUUUUUUUUUUUUUGAUAAAUUUCACUGCCUUCCCUAAGGUCAGUACGCUUUGAUUAAGAGUACUUAAAAAGUAAACUAUUUAGAUCAAUCACUUUUUUUAUAAUGAAUUUGGAUAACAAAGUUUUAUUUUUUAACAGUACUUAAAAUGUAAACUAUUUAAAUCAAUCUUUUUGUUAAAAAUUACUUAUUGAUAAAAAAAAGUAGAGUUGUUUAUAAAUAAUUGAUGUUUUGAGAAAAAAGAUAAUGUUUAUUCAUUUUAAUUGGUGUAUUCAGAAAAAAAAAAUAGAAUACUUAAAUUUAAGGGCAAUCUUACCAUUUUUUCCAAAAAACAAUUAGCUAUAAUGGAGAAUCUUGAUAGUAGUGUCAAAAGUAAGGAAGGUCAGUGCUACCUCAGAAACUACAAGAGAGGUGGUUGUAAUUGUCAGAAACCUCAAGGAAGGUCAAUUAAAUUUACCCAAAAAAAAUUGGGGCCAGAGAGAAAUUUCUUGGGUACAACUAAAAUGACACGUAAUUGAGUAGGAACAAAACAGUGAAAUUACCUAUAACGUCCCCCAAAAUGGGGUCUGAGCCUCACUUGUUGUCCUUCCGUUUGAUUUUUGGACAUAAUGGGAGAGAGCAAACCUUGACUCAAAGUAUAUGGUGUUAAUUGUCCACUUUUGAGGUGUAGGAUGCAAAGUGUCUUUUUAGUGCAAGGGGGCAAACUGGACUUUACCCAAAUUAAAAAUAAAAAGUUAGGCAUUUAUGUAGAGGUAAUUAACCCCAAGGGGUUAGCGAGAGUGGUAGUCACCAGGCCUUUAGUCUGGGAUUCGACUCUACCCGUGUGCUAUCAAUUCCUUUGUUUGGCUAGUCCAUACGGGGCUUUGCCUUGACUUUAAAUGGGCUCCCUGCUUGUGGACGGUGGGAUUGAUAAUUCCACCGGAUUAGUCAGUCUAGUGGACCGGUUACCAAGUUAUCAAAAAAAAUGUUAUGUAGAGGUAAUUCGGGAAUACGAACGGAGCUUCAUCAACACCAACUUGGGUUCUCCCUCGUGUUAAAAUUUGGAUGUUCGGUUUAAUAUGUCAUGUUACUGACAUUGCCAAUAGGUUAGAACCAGAACUAAAGGUCAACGGUUCGGAUUAGUUCCCAAUUAUGUGGAACUAUUAUACACCCCAUGGUUAUGUAAUAUAUUUUGAAGUUCAAAAUUUGUCCACAUAUUUGAACCCGAUACUCAAUCCAAUCCAAGUCUAUGUAACAUAGUGAGCAAAUAGCUGUAACCUAUCAUCAUUAUUAUGUAACCAAGGAGAUAUGAAAUGCAACAUCGACCCCAACAGCAGGAUGGACAAAAACAUAACAGGAACAACCUUCUCCCACAUGUUUUUUCCAAGCUACGAGGGCUACAAUUUUUGUUCCUGCACAAUGAAUAAAAUGUUCUAGCAAGUUUACAAACUCUAUGCCAAAAUCAAAGAUGAAAAUCUUUUCAAGCAGAUCAGAACUAACCUUUUAAAAAUACAAAGCAAUAGGAAACAACUAUAAACAAUGAAAAGCGCAAUCUGAUUUCAGAGAUUCAAUCAGGGAAACUACUGCUUUCCACAAUAUGGUUAUGAUCAGUUAAUGGACUUGCUGGAAAGUAUUCUUGCCUCUAUCAUUAGCUCAGGUAGUCGUCGUGUCUGGUGUUUUAGACCUUCAUUGGCUCACCUCAACUACAGAAAGUAAAAUCCUAGACCUAUAGAAUCCACUAUGGUCUUAUUGUCACCAAGUUAGGAAGAUGAAGAGGAUAAACUGUAACCAUAAAACAAUAAAGUCUCGCGUUACUAAAUGAUAAGGUAUAAAAUCAAGCACACGGGCGCACACGUAGAGAUAGAAAGAGAGAGCACAUACCAGUCCUUGAAUGAAUGAUUUUGGAAAGGCAGCUGAAGUGAA